GGAACUGAGGACAAUUUGGGUACAACUAUCACCCCAUCAACCCCCAGAGUUGGUGCUGUUUAUUUAUCUGGCUAGGCCAGUGUGUCUGUCUUCUCUCACCACUCAGUGUUGAGACGUGUGUUCGCUGGACUAUUUUUUAGUCAAAGAUACAAGGGUAGCUAUUCUCCCACUCUAGAAACUCCAAACAAACUCUCAGGAAUAAGACUCAGGCCCAGCACAGGGCUCUAAUCCCCGCACUCAGGAGGAAGAGGCAG
Molecule: small RNA, 254 nt
Filed under: Microtus ochrogaster (prairie vole)
Lineage: Eukaryota; Metazoa; Chordata; Mammalia; Rodentia; Cricetidae
Description: 7SK RNA (ENSMOCG00000005644.1)
Rfam family: 7SK RNA
About the family: 7SK was discovered as an abundant small nuclear RNA in the mid-70s but a possible function has only recently been suggested. Two independent studies have found that 7SK RNA binds the CDK9/cyclin T complex (known as elongation factor P-TEFb). P-TEFb activates transcription by phosphorylating the C-terminal domain of RNA polymerase II.
Source: RNAcentral